Long non-coding RNA from Esox lucius (northern pike), 608 nucleotides. RefSeq lists it as uncharacterized. NCBI's taxonomy places the organism in Eukaryota, Metazoa, Chordata, Actinopteri, Esociformes, Esocidae. The transcript has 2 exons. The record is from RefSeq and is a predicted model, not a curated record.
CUUUCUACCUGGCAGGUAAGUAGUAGGCUACAGUGGACGGCGCUGCACUGCAGUGCUUCUCUGUACUAUGCGACAAUACGGACUACAGGGUGAUAACAGAUAAAUAGCUUACCCAUCGUGACCAGAGAAUCCAGAGAACUCAUCAGACUCGACAGAACCAGAGAACCCAUCAGACCCAGAGAACCCAGAGAACUCAUCAGACUCGACAGAACCAGAGAACCCAUCAGACCCAGAGAACCCAGAGAACUCAUCAGACUCGGCAGAACCAGAGAACCCAUCAGACCCAGAGAACCCAGAGUACUCAUCAGACUCGGCAAAACCAAAGAAUCCAUCAGAACCAGAGAACCCAGAGUACUCAUCUGACUCGGCAGAACCAGAGAACCCAUCAGACCCAGAUAACCCAGAGAACAGCAGGUGUUGUUAGUAGGGCAGCACUGAACUCCAUACUUUUCAUUUAUGGUUAUUAGGGUGACUAGACUACACAUUGUAGAUUGAACGUAUUUUACUCCGUGUUUUAUUACUGAGUGUUCAUGCAACUUGGGACAAAAGCAUGUAUUUGUUUAUGAAUACUCUGAAAAUACAACCAGCCUGUUGAGCCAGGCCUACCA